GUUUAAGUAGCAAAAGGGUUAAUGCAUAAGAUUUAGGAUUUUACAGUGAAGGUUCAAUUCUUUCCUUAAAUU
Molecule: transfer RNA, 72 nt
Filed under: Labidiaster annulatus
Lineage: Eukaryota; Metazoa; Echinodermata; Asteroidea; Forcipulatida; Labidiasteridae
Also listed under: 1 other name
Description: tRNA-Leu
Rfam family: tRNA
About the family: Transfer RNA (tRNA) molecules are approximately 80 nucleotides in length. Their secondary structure includes four short double-helical elements and three loops (D, anti-codon, and T loops).
Source: RNAcentral